This 440-nucleotide ribosomal RNA is filed under the name uncultured bacterium. Its description in RNAcentral is "partial 16S ribosomal RNA". It matches the Rfam family "Bacterial small subunit ribosomal RNA", at positions 338 to 795 of the family's 1533-position model. The record is from RNAcentral.
CCUACGGGAGGCAGCAGUGGGGAAUAUUGCACAAUGGGGGAAACCCUGAUGCAGCGACGCCGCGUGAGUGAAGAAGUAAUUCGUUAUGUAAAGCUCUAUCAGCAGGGAAGAAAAUGACGGUACCUGAGUAAGAAGCCCCGGCUAACUACGUGCCAGCAGCCGCGGUCAUACGUAGGGGGCAAGCGUUAUCCGGAUUUACUGGGUGUAAAGGGAGCGUAGACGGCAGUGCAAGUCUGGAGUGAAAGGCGGGGGCUCAACCCCCGGACUGCUCUGGAAACUGUACGGCUGGAGUGCAGGAGAGGUAAGUGGAAUUCCUAGUGUAGCGAUGAAAUGCGUAGAUAUUAGGAGGAACACCAGUGGCGAAGGCGGCUUACUGGACUGUAACUGACGUUGAGGCUCGAAAGCGUGGGGAGCAAACAGGAUUAGAUACCCUGGUAGUC